This 497-nucleotide ribosomal RNA is filed under the name uncultured bacterium. RNAcentral describes it as "partial 16S ribosomal RNA". It matches the Rfam family "Bacterial small subunit ribosomal RNA", at positions 28 to 507 of the family's 1533-position model. The record is from RNAcentral.
GAUGAACGCUGGCGGCGUGCCUAAUACAUGCAAGUCGAGCGAACGGACGAUAAGCUUGCUUUUCUGAUGUUAGCGGCGGACGGGCGAGUAACACGUGGAUAACCUACUUCUAAUACUGGGAUAACUUCGGGAAACCGGAGCUACUACCGGAUAAUAUUUUGAACCGCUUGGUUCAAAAGUGAAAGACGCUCUUGCUGUCACUUAUAGAUGGAUCCGCGCUGCAUUAGCUAGUUGGUAAGGUAACGGCUUACCAAGGCAACGAUGCAUAGCCGACCUGAGAGGAUGAUCAGCCACACUGGAACUGAGACACGGUCCAGACUCCUACGGGAGGCAGCAGUAGGGAAUAUUGCGCAAAGGGCGAAAGCCUGACGGAGCAAUGCCGCGUGAGUGAAGAAGGUCUUCGGAUCGUAAAGCUCUGUUAUUAGGGAAGAACAGAUGUGUAAUAAACUGUGGACGUCUUGACGGUACCUAAUGAGAAAGCAACGGCUAACUACGUG